This is a non-coding RNA of Cherax quadricarinatus, 7243 nucleotides long. The record is from RefSeq and is a predicted model, not a curated record. Lineage: Eukaryota; Metazoa; Arthropoda; Malacostraca; Decapoda; Parastacidae.
UUGUCAAAGCAGAUCUACGUUCACAUGCGUAGUGCUCCAAAAGUAGAUCUACGUUUCUUUUACAUAGUUUCAAAUAUAACAAAAAAAAAAAAACGUAGAUCAAAGUUGUUUUUUACACGUUUUCAAAUGUAAAAAAAAAAGAAAGAUCAACUUUUUUUAUAUACUUUCAAAUGUUGAAAAAACGUAGAUCUACGUUUGGACAGUUUAAGGGUUAAUACACAUAAUAUUACAUGUACAAAGUCCACCAGUCAUCACUUCCACUAAAUUAGCUUGUUGCAUGGACCUACUGGUUAGUGCAGGGGACUCGCCUGCUAAACUCUCACCUUUAAAUGGUUUAUAUGCAUGUUCCUAUGUUAUUUGCAUUAACUUUAUAAAGCUCUACAUAGAGACAAAGAUGUCACAACAAAAAGGUUGCUCUACACCUGUAUUUUCUUCAGUACACCUUUGCAUUCAGAAUAAAAAUUUAAAUUCUCAUUAUGUUUAACUGCUGACUAAUUUUAUAGCAAGGACACAACAGGAAAUUAAAGACCUCUAUUAUUUUGAUAAUAUAAAAAUAAGAGCAAGUGUAGCUCAGUGUAUAGCUUAUUUAUGUACAGCAGGUGUCAUAAAUAUGCCUUUGACAGUUUUAAGAAGUGCCAGGCCAAUUUUUGUAUGGAAGAUGGUACCCCAACAAAGAUUGAGUGCAUGAUUGUGAUAUUGUUCAUUAAAUUUAAUGACUGAUAACUCAAAAAGGACUUACUACAUCUGAUAAAUAACAUAUGGAACCUUGUUAAGCAUAAGCUUCAUGACAUGGAUGUGUCCACUAUGUGUGGGAGGGUACUGACUUUUCUAUCCUCCACAAUGUGGCAUUAUCAGUACCCAAGAGACAUAAGGAGUGCAUCAAGAGAAAGGAUAACCCUACAAAAUACUUGGGAAGAUAGUAUCCCAUAUUGAAAACAAUAUGAAGAGCAUGCUAAUUAUCUGUGUGAAUGCAUGUAUAUGACACAUACUGUAUAUUACUGGCAGGGCCAGUGUAACCCAAUAAUCAACUGCUACUUACAUGCAAUAAUACUGAACAUACAGUGAAGAACUACAGUGGCUUUUUGGCACAUGCUAGGCAGAGCCAACUCUUGUACCUGUGCAACCUAUUUUUAAAGCUACCUAAUAAACUGUUCAGCACCACUACUUGAUGGCUCAUUCCAUCCAUCUACAACUGUAUUGCCAAGCAAGUCCUUUCCUAUAUCCUUUUUCAGUCUUAAUUUAUUCAAAGCCAAAACCAAUCUGUCACUGCAAGUCCUAUCUUUCUUAGAUAUUUUCAGCCAUUUAUUUAUAUCACUAUUCCAAUUUUCCAUUCAUACAUUCAAGUCUAUUCUCCAUUAUUCUAUGUCUUUCCAAAGUGCAAAUUCAGGGCCUUUAGACCAUCUUCAUAAGAAAGGUUUCUGAUACAAGAAAACAACUUCUUCCUUCUGUGUUUUUCCCAGUGCAUUUAUGUCCAUUCUGUAAUAUGGAGAGAAAUGAGCUGUAUAAUCUAAAUAAGGUCUUACUAAUGAUACUGUAUAUAAAGUAUAACCUUAGGAACCUUUAUUAUUUAUUCUUGAUAUAAAGCCAGGAAUUCUAUUAGCUUUAUUACAAAGACUUAAACAACAAAGUAUCUGUUUAGAUUUCUGCUAACCAGAACUCCUUAGUCUUUUUUGCAUUCAGUUUGAUUAAGAUGUGUUUAGUUUAUUAGUGCUGUGGUUUUCUUUUCCAGGGAUUACCUCACAUUUACCCUCAUUAAACCUCAUCUGCCGCUUUUCUGAUCACAUCACCCUAACCAGAUUAUCGUGUAGCUCUCUUAGUGUUCUUUUAAAUUGACAACCUAUUUUAUUGUCAUUAUUCCCUAAUCUAUGUCAUGUAUUUAGAUUAUGAACACAAAGGUGCCCAGCACUGACCCCAGUGAAACACAAUGUGUAGUAGGGCACUAAUUCUGAUUUCUCCCUAUUAAUGCAAAAAAUGUUGCCUAUCUUUCAGUGAUAUUUUGAUCCAUUAGAGAAUUUGUCCUAUACUGUGUGACACCAUCAGUCUCUAGUGUGAAACUCUAUACUAUUAUAAAAUGCCUAACCAGUGAGGGACUCUUGACCUAAGGAUGUGGAUCUGUGCUUCCCUUCCUUGGUCCAAUAAAGCAAACCUACCCUCCUUUUCCUUUUAUUCAAUCUGAUUCCCCCCCCCCCAUUCCCCAGGUGCUCUAUGACCCUUACAGGCUUAGGACUCCCUCAGGCACUGUAUGACCCUUACAGUUUUAGUGACUUUGCCCUUGAACAUAACAGUAUCCAAGACUUUACUGAAGUGCAUAUUUUUGUUUGUUUGUUUAGUAAUACAUCGGCUGUUUCCCACCAAGGCAGGGUGGCCUGAAAAAGAAAAACUUUCACCAUCAUUCACUCCAUCACUGACUUGCCAGAAGUGCACUUACACUACAGAUAUAAAACUUCAGAGUGCAGCCACUGUACUUCCCAUCUCCAGGACUCGAGUCUGGCCUGCCGGUUUCCCUGAAUCCCUUCAUAAAUAUUACCCUGCUCACACUCCAACAGCAUGCCAAGUCCUAAAAACCAUUUGUCUCCAUUAGCUACUAAUAUGCUCACGCAUGCUUGCUAGAAGUCCAAGCCCCUCGCACACAAAACCUCCUUUACCCCCUCCCUACAACCUUUCCAAGGCCGACCUCUACCCUGCCUUCCCUCCACUACAGAUUUAUACCCUCUCAAAGUCAUUCUAUUUCGUUCCAUCCUCUCUACCUGUCCGAACCACCUCAACAACACCUCCUCAGCCCUCUGGGUAAUAGUUUUCAUAAUCCCGCACCUCCUCUUAAUUUCCAAACUACAAAUUCUCUGCAUUAUAUUCACACCAUGCAUUGCCAUCAGACACAACAUCUCUACUGCCUCCAACCUCCUCCUCAUUGCAACAUUCACUACCCAUGCCUUGCUUCCAUAUAAGAGCUUUGGUAUAACUAUACUCUCAUACAUUCCCCUCUUUGCUUCCCUGGACAAAGAUUUUUGUCUCCACAGACUCCUCAGCGCACCAGUCACCUUUUUCCCCCUUGUCAAUUCUAUGAUUCACCUCAUCCUUCACAGACCCAUCUGCUGACACGUCCACUCCUAAAUAUAUGAACAUAUUCACGUCCUCCAUACUCUCUCCCUCCAAUCUGAUAUCCAAUCUUUCAUUACCUAAUUUUUUUUUUAUCCUCAUCACCUUACUCUUUCCUAUAUUCACUUUUAAUUUUCUUCUUUUACAUACCCUACCAAACUCAUCCACCAACCUCUGCAACUUCUCUUCAGAAUCUCCCAAAAGCACAGUGUCAUCAGCAAAGAGCAACUAUGACAACUCCCAUUUUGUGUUAGAUUCUUUAUCUUUUAACCCCAAACCUAUUGCCAACACCUGAGCAUUCACUUCUUUUACAACCCCAUCUAUAAAUAUAUUGAACACCCAUGGUGACAUCACACAUUCUUGUCUAAAGCCUACUUCUACUGGGAAAUAAUCUCCCUCUCUCUUACAUGCUCUAACCUGAGCCUCACUAUCCUUGUAAAAACUUUCUGACUGCUUUCAUUAACCUACUUCCUAUUCCAUACAUUUGCAACAUCUGCCACACUGCCCACUAUCCACCCUAUCAUAUCGCCUUUUCCAAAUCCAUAAAUGCCACAAAAACCUCUUUACCCUUAUCUAAAUAUUGUUCACCUAUAUAUUUCACUGUAAACACUUGGUCCACACACCCCCUACCCUUCCUAAAGCCUCCUUGUUCAUUUGCUAUCCUACUCUCCAUCUUACUCUUAAUUCUUUCAUUAAUAACUCUAACAUACACUUUACCAGUUAUACUCAACAAUGUAGUCCCCUAUAAUUCUUGCACUCUCUUUUAUCCCCUUUGCCUUUAUACAAAGGAACUAUGCAUGCUCUCUGCCAAUCCCUAGGUACCUUACCCUCUUCCAUACAUUUAUUAAAUAAAAGAACCAACCACUCCAAAACUAUACCCUCACCUGCUUUUAACAUUUCUAUCUUUAUCCCAUCAAUCCCAGCUGCCUUACCCCCUUUCAUUCUACCCAUUGCCUCAUGAACUUCCCCCACACUCACAACUUGUUCUUCCUCACUCCUCAAGAUGUUAUUCCUCCUUGCCCUAUACAUGAAAUUACAGCUUCCCUAUCUUCAUCAACAUUUAACAAUUCCUCAAAAUAUUCCCUCCAUCUUCCUGAUACUUCUAACUUUCCAUUUAAUAACUCUCCUCUCCUAUUUUUAACUAUAAAAUCCAUUCGUUCCCUAGGCUUCCUCAACUUAUUAAUCUCACUCCAAAACUUUUUUUUAUUUUCAAGAAAAUUUGUUGUUAACAUCUCACCCACUCUCUCAUUUGCUCUCUUUUUACACUGCUUCACCACUCUCUUAACCUCUCUUUUCCUCUCCAUAUCUCUUCCCUCCCUGCAUCACUUCUACUUUGUAAAAACCUUUCAUAUGCUAACUUUUUCUCUCUCACUACUCUCUCUACAUCAAUCGCUCUUCUUCCCUCCCACACCCAUUUUCCUGUAACCACAAACUUCUGCUGAACAGUCUAACACUACAUUCUUAAACCUACACUAUACAUCUUCAACUCCAUUGCCUAUACUCUCACUAGCCCAUCUAUUCUCCAACAGUUGUUAAUAUCUUACCCUAUCUGCCUCAUCCUUUAGCUUAUACACCUUCACCUCUCUCUUACCUGCUGCUUCCAUUUUCCUUGUAUCCCAUCUACCUUUUACUCUCACUGUAACUACAACUAAAAAGUGAUCUGAUAAAUCUGUGGCCCCUCUAUAAAUAUGUACAUCUUGAAGUCUACCCAACAGUCUUUUAUCUACCAAUACACAGUCCAACAAACUACUGUUGUUAUGCCCUACAUCUUAUCUUAUAUACUUAUUUAUCCUCUUUUUCUUAAAGUAUGAAUUACCUAUAACCAAACCCCUUUCAUUUACACUAUCAUAUUCUUUAUCCAUGGUUUGCCGCACUAAUAAAAUACUUUAGUGAAAAAAGGGGUUUGUAAAUUUGGAAGGCAAGAAUGCUCCUUUGUCAGCAUGCUGAGAUUUAUUAGUUAAAAUAUAUCUUUCAAGGUGACUGUAAACUGCAUCCACAACCAGACUUAUAUCAAUAAUUGCUCGAUCUUAAGUUAUCCCUGAAUCUCAUACCCUUGACCCCCUGUUCCUCAAUGUACACAACUUUCAAAUCCACCCCCUGUAUUUCAAUGUACACAACUUCCAAAUCCUUAUGUGAUAGAGGAGCUGUAGCUAAGCUCCUUCAAAAGAUUUAGAGCUUUAAGCCAACAUAUUUAUGAAAUCUUUAACACCUACAAAAGGCAUAGGCAGUAAAAAAAAAAAGUAAACUUUAAUUCUGCUCAAAAGUUAAUUUCAAUGGCAGUAUGUGUCAUGUUUGACAUCCAACCAGUUUUGACUUUACAUUUUGAUGGCAACUAGUGCUAAAAAUCCUGAAUUACCAAGAUAUGUACUAGCAAAUGGAGAAGGGCAGUCUUGUGUCAAAGAACCAGACCUCAAGACUUCAAGUUGUAUUUACAUUGCCUCAUUACCUUUUUCAAUGAGGUCAUCUCUGACAAGGUCUGCAUCACUGAUGCUGUCCAUUUCAGCAAAGAAAAGAUCAUGACUCUGCAUUUUGAUUUUAAGGUCAUCUGAGCUCCUGUCUCUGGAAACCACUUUCCAUUCAUUACAACCAAUCACUUCACUCAAAUUCAGACAAUUUUAAAUUUCUCAUUUACCUUCCCAUGAAUUAGAAUCUGUCUCUUUGCAGUGCUUGACUCUUUUAAGACAUGGCAGUGCUUCUCAAACAUUAUUGAGGAAUAGUACAAGAAUGGUAUACAAUACCAACAUGUGUCUAAUUCUUCAUUAUUGAGGAAGUUUUGUUAGCAAGCUGUAACAAGCCACCCAAAAUUCCCUGAGUAGCCACACAGCUGCAACCCAUUUUAAUGGCUUUAUGCUCAGUCUAGACCUUCAUAUACUGAUAGAAACACCAUAAAGGUGGUUUCCUUGUUAAUUUCUCAAAGCACUUAAUAUACUAUUAUCAAUUUGCAUAUUAGUGCCAUGUCUACCAUUGUAUACAAUAUUUAUGCAUAUUUUUUCUUUUAAUAUUAUAAUUUCUCAAAUGUAUUUAUUGCAUAUGACAAAUUUUAAUAUUUUAACUUUUAAAAGAAUAUGGGAAUUAUUUGUUAGCAUCAUAUGGUGUUGGAACUGCUAGAUAAAUUAAUGCAACAGGGGGCAAAAUAUACAAGUCCAGAAAACUUGUACUAUUUCUGUUUGUAUGAAGUUUCAGGAAAUUGUGCAGUGUUGUCGAGUUACUAUUGCUGCUUAUAGUCAUAUGCUCAUUAGCAACAUAAUGCAAGUAUGAUUUAUUAUUAUUACUGGUUAAUGAGGAACCUAUGAUGUUUGUUACAGUUAAGUUUGCCAAAUCAUACUAUGUUUUUAUGGUAGUUGCCACAUAUCUAUAUGCAGUAUUUUUAAAAUAAUGAAAACAGUGCCUUAAUAUUUACAUCUGACACUUUUCAUGGUGCCUUUGGGACACAGUAGACAACCACCUUUAGCAUGAGAUAUGUUCCAGAAAAAUGGAGCUAUAUGUGAAAAUGAGAUGGCUGGAGUGAACAACUUACAGGAAAAAUUAGGUUAUGUGUCAUGACACCUCGAAAAAAACCCAUUCAAGUUUUUUCAAUUCUUAAAUUAUCAAUAUUAUUAUUAAUGUUUUUGACAAUUUACAUUGUAGAUGUUGUUUCUUGUUGAUUAAAAAACGUGUGGAGAGGUUUCAUGCUGCUCUACAAGGCCUAGUUGCAUGUAGUGAGGUUUAAACCCUCCAAAAUGUGUACAGUGUUUGACCUAAAUGGGAUAUUCAGAGUUAUCCGUUUAUACAGUGGGUCAGGCUCCUGGCUACUGCUGCAAAGCAAAAAUUGCUGUAAAGUGAAACAGCAUAUUUUUUACCUAUCAAAUGCAUGUAAAAACCUGAAAACACGUUUAUACUAUUAUAUAUUAUGUGAGCAAUAGAGCUAGGCCUAAAAAAUGCACAUACAGCACACACGUUAAAAUAUUUUCGCCCUUAGCUUAUAGUGAGUGGUGAAUAUAUUUAUUGUAGGAAGUCUGAAUAAAUGAUGAAUGGGUAUAAUUAAAAACUGCUGCAUUAGUGAAACCCUGUAAAGCAGGACCUUCCUGUACCCAUAAUGUAUGUGCCAUCAAGACUAUUGUAAAAAAAAAAAAAUUGUAGAAUUUGUACCCAAAACUUGUUAAAUAAA